GCACACUGUACAAGUUUUCAUUUAGUGGAGACUGUCCCUUGCUGGUCUUAAUCCCAUCCAUCCUUAUUUCCCCAUCAGAUACUGUUUCCUCCGUGAUUGCUUAAUGCCUUGUAAAUUGUUCUUAUUUUUCUUACAUUCCAGUUUUACUUUUUACUCGUACGCAUUUGACCCCAUCUCGAAGGUAAUUUCAUUACCUUCCCAGUCCUUUGCUAAUCUAUAUUUUGGAAUUAACAUUGGUUGUCUUUUAUUUUUCUUCAGCAUUUUUCUUUAUCUUUUGUAAUGAAGGUAAAAGAACCUCCUUACACUUCAAGGUCUGUGUUUUUCUUCCUACUUUGAACAUUAGUUUAAAGUAAACAUUAGUUUAACUAAACAUCAGUUCCUUUAAUUUCUCCCAUUCUAUCCCUCUCCCUUUCAGAAGAUAAUUUUAAGGGGGAAGAACUCAGUUGGCCUAUAACUGGCAGACAAUGCGAUAGUGGUUGAGCAGAAUGAGGGCGGCCUAUUAAGCAUGAUAAAUCAACGGAAUAGUUUGGGUUAGAACUGGUGUUGGGAUUAGCGUUGAAGGAAGUUGAGCAUAAAAGGUGAUCGUGCAGACACUUCCAGCACCCCUUGGGCCACUGCAGAAGAAACAGUGAUGAAACUUCAGGUAUUGGCCACAAGAUGGCACUAUGGCGCCACCGAGAUCUAAGGGGCUCUGGGCAGAGUCUGGGAGAGCAGCCUGGGAGGAAAAGGGUUAAGAAAAACUUAGGCGUGGAUCCACUACUCGACAGCUGUUGAAGAAGUUUUCAGUUAUUGCCAAACUACCUACAGCUAUGGAAGAAGUGGGAGGCCCCUCUAAACUGUAAUGAGAUCCACAGUUGAAGGAUUUGGGCGAAGCAGCCUUGAUGUCAGGGGCAGGUGCAGACAAGGAGCAACUGUGUCAGAGGAAUAUGGGAAACCCAGGGGGCGGAGUGCACCCAAAAGUCAGAGCGUCGCAGCCCUACUCCACCUCCCCUGCAGGCAAGCUAAGCAACAUCUAGGAGAGGAGACGCUGACCUCACAUGAGCCAAGUCACAGGGGGAUCCUCCCGGGGCGGGGAGAAUCUGCAGGGGUAGGGGGAGUGACAUCCCAGGCAGCCCCACCUGGCCAUUGGAGAAGAGCCCCCCAGCUCCCUUUCUCAGGCCUGUGGAACAGAGCAUUUAGUGGGGACAGCCCUCUUCUCGCCCUCACCCUGCCAUGAGCCCCAACCUCUUUUGUGUGAUUCUUUGUCUGCUGGUGGCAGGUCCCAUGGAUGCAGCAGUCACCCAGAAGCCAAGAUACCAUAUUAUACGAGCAGGAAGCAAGAUGGUCCUGGAUUGUUCUCAGGAUAUGAACCAUGUGGGAAUGUUCUGGUAUCGGCAAGAUCUGGGACAGGGGCUGAGGCUGAUCCAUUAUUCAAAUGGCGUCGGUAGCACUGGCGAAGGGGAUGUCACGGAGGGGUACAGUGUCUCCCGAAAGAAGAAUGAACAUUUCCCCCUGACCCUGGAGCCGGCCAGCACCAAGCAGACCUCCCUGUACCUCUGUGCCAGCAGUGAAUCCACAGCACGGCACAGUCAGCUGCUCUCCGCACAAAAACCUCGGCCACAGGCGUGAGGUGGACACUUCUUCCUGAGGCCACGUCUCACCAGGGGAGAAAAACUGCUCUUUCUGAAGCUCUCACCAGACUAGUGUGAACUGAGGUCCAUCAGCGUGAAGGGUGUGAGUGUGAGUGUGUGUGUGUGUGUGUUUGUGAGCGUGUGUGUGUGUGUGUGCGCGCUCUAAUUUGAAAAGACACAUGACCCCAAUGUUCACUGCAGCACUAUUUACAAUAGCCAAGACGUGGAAGCAACCUAAAUGUCCACUGACAGCUGAAUGGAUAAAGAAGAUGUGGUGCAUAUACACAAUGGAAUAUUACUCAACAAUUAAAAAAAGUGAAAUGAUGUCAUUUGCAGCAAUAUGGAUAGACUUAGAGAUUAUCAUACAAAGUGAAGUCAGAGAAAGACAAAUAUCGUAUGAUAUCACUUAUACAUGGAAUCUAAAAAUGGAUAUAAAUGAACUUAUUUACAAAACAGAACUAUAACACACCAUUGUAAAGCAAUUAUACUCCAAUAAAGGUGUAUAAAAAAAAACACAACAGAAAUAGACUCACAGACAUGGAAAACAAACUUACGGUUACCAGAGGGGAUAGGAGGGUUGGGGGGGGCAGGGAUAAAUUAAGAGUUUGGGAUUAACAUAUACACGCUACUAUGUAUAAAAUAAACAACAAGCACUUACUGUAGAGCACGGGGAACUAUAUGCAAUGUCUUGUAAUAACCUAUAAUGGAAAAGAAUCUGAAAAAGAUGAUAUGUAUGCACAUAUAACUGAAUCACUUUGCUGAACACCUGAAGCUAACACAACAUUGUACAUUAAUGAUACUUCAAUUUAAAAAUGGUUAGAAAAAGUAAAUGCAAAUAGCACUUAGUGUUACGUCACUCAAUUCAGAAUAUUCUGGUAUAAAUAAAGCCGAAGGACAGCAGCAUCUAACAUGAAAUUUAUAUUUCACUUCCUUUUUCAGCGCAGAGCUGAACAGAAAACAGCCGUGCAGCUUUAAAUUCCCUGAGCGAUCUGGGGCUCUCCAAGCUUGAAACUGUUACACAAAGGUGCCUGGGGCUCAUUGAAUACCAAGCAAGAAUUCUUUGGAGAAAAACAAUUCUCAGUAACAAAUUAUGAAACACGUAAGUAAACAAACCACUUAGGGGAAAUGUGAGUAGAUGCAUCAAACAGCAGCAUUAAACCCCGAGAUGAUCAACUGUAGAAUUAUCAAAAGAAAGAUGACAAACUAAGUCUCUCCUGUGGGCACAGGGCAGUAUUUUGCAUCUUCGGAGGUUAUGAGGUCUUUUGAGGUCACUGAGAACUUCUCACGUUCUCAGUAUCUUAUGCCUGUGACUGUUCUCAUCUUCUCUUAUUUGUGUGUGAUUCAUUUCUAAGUUGAACUACAUGCAUAAAAUUGUAUAUGAGUCCCAUCUUUUAGGCAAUUUGUAAAUUAAGAAAGAACCUCAUUUUUAUCAUCCCUUUGGCUUGGAUGAAAAUCUAUGAGCUUUUCAAUUUUUUUUUCUUGCAAAAUAUUACAAAAUGAUAUUGGCAACAAUUUAUUCUCCCCCAGCCUGUAUCCCUCCUCGGCUUCUUACAGGUGGAAGUCCAUACACAAGAGCAGCGUUUCUUCACGUGGGAUCCAGUAAGUCCAAGUCUGGGGGUCCAUAGUUGGGCUUCACAGGAAGGGCAAACCCCAUGUGCUGCUCACCCCUUGACCUGCUGUGCCAUGUACACCCUGGGUUGGGGGAGCGCUGGCUGACCCAGGACCUGAUUACAGACAAGGGAGCAGGCUGCUCGCUGGGCAAAAACUGAACUCAGUAAUUGCACAAUCUGCUGAAAGUCUAAAUGGUGAAACUGACGAAUGACCAAUUUUGCCAAAUUAUGGCAUUUACAGCAGUUCAGGAUGCUUGGAAUGAUU
Orcinus orca (killer whale) is the source of this 3485-nucleotide non-coding RNA. The record is from the annotation of a RefSeq genome assembly. Lineage: Eukaryota; Metazoa; Chordata; Mammalia; Artiodactyla; Delphinidae.